CUCCAGUAAUCAUAAGCAACCAUCCCAGUUUACCAUUAGGCAUCCCAGGGUCCGGGCUUCCUCCAGAGAAGGGGAAGGGACUCUCUUUUGUCUCCUGGGAAAUGUCCCUGGGGAUAAGAACCUAACUUUGUGUGAGUGAUGUAUAUGAGAUACCUGCCGGUGUCUACAGGACUCAGCAAUGGCAGGAAGAACAGAGAGGUGGGCGUGGCCCAGAGACAAGGAGAGUAAGAAGCCAGGUCACAGAGGACAAGUCAGAGCCCUCUGUCCCAGACAGGAAGCUGAAUCUCUUCAUUCCCAUCCAUUGCGUACUUUCUGGUGCUCUGUGGGAAGCCAUGGAAAGUGCAUUUUUUUUUCCAUAAGAAAAAAGGGAAAUCGGAUAUCUGGUCCAAGGUCACGAAGCUCCCAGGUGACGAACUAUGGUUUUGACCCAGGACAUUUAAGGCCUCUGAGCCCUCUAUCGUGUCACUAUGGUAUUCUGGAAAUAAAGACACAGCAAGAUCUCGAUACUCCUGUCUCGGACCGACUCAGUUCCCUGCCUUUGUCCUUGGGAGUUUUACCUGAGGACGUUAUAAACCAGAGGGGUUAAUUCCAAUCAGAUGUGGGCAUUUCUCACCCAUCAAAAAUGCAGAGAACAGCAAAUUCUUGUUUGCUUUUUCUUCCAGUCCUACUGUGCAUUCGCUCACGCAUCCAUCCAUCCAUUCAUCCAGUGCCUUGGUUUCAGGUACGGUCCUUGUGUGACCCAGAACAAGCGACAAAUUGCUCCUCUGAGAGCCCCAGCUUCCUCAUCUGGGAACCACAACGAAUCCAGCUUCAUAGGGCCAUUGUGAGAUGUGUGGAUGUAGGAAACAAAAAUAUUUGAGAACCAAAGAGUAGACCAAUUUCCGGGUAGACUUGCAGAUCGGGUAUAUGACGUCACUUUCUGUACCCGCUCCCUACCUCUGCAGCUUCUGUUCACAAAAUGUUUCCUCCCAGGUGAGACGACUUAGUCAGUACUCAGUAUCUCAGCAUAGUAGGACCUCUCUGUCCCAAAACCUAUGGCAAAGUCCACGGGCUCAAGCCCCAUUGGACUAACUUGGGUCACAUAUGCUUAUCCUUCAACCAAUCCUUGGGGUCUUGAGUAGUGAGAAACAAGCUGAUUGGCCAGACUCAGUCUUUGGUGUAGAAGUGGGAGGAGACUGUAGAUCUUGAUAGAAGAAGCAGAAUGGGCGCCUGGCGGCAGUGUGAUGCCUCUCAGGUAUGUACUAGAUAGGAGGACUUACUUCCAAGUGAUUUAUUAGGAAGUCCUUAUGGGGUGGCUUGGCAUUCAAGAAACCCUAGAUUCCACCCCAAGCACUGCCGAAAACCAAGCAGGGAUGGUACAUGCCUAUUCAUCCCAGCGCUUAGGAGGUGGAGGCAGGAGGAUUAGAAGCUCAUGGUUAACCUUGGCCACAUAGAAAGUUGGAGCCUGCCUGGACUAUAUCUGUGCUAUAUGGGAAUAUGAGGCUCAUAUUCUCUCUCUCUCUCUCUCUCUCUCUCUCUCUCUCUCUCUCUCUCUCCCUCCCUCCCUCUCUCCCCCCCACCCCCCACGCUCUUAUAAGAAAAAUAGG
Mus spicilegus (steppe mouse) is the source of this 1586-nucleotide long non-coding RNA. The record is from Ensembl. Lineage: Eukaryota; Metazoa; Chordata; Mammalia; Rodentia; Muridae.